This 253-nucleotide ribosomal RNA is filed under the name uncultured bacterium. RNAcentral describes it as "partial 16S ribosomal RNA". It matches the Rfam family "Bacterial small subunit ribosomal RNA", at positions 524 to 776 of the family's 1533-position model. The record is from RNAcentral.
UACGGAGGAUCCAAGCGUUAUCCGGAUUUAUUGGGUUUAAAGGGUGCGUAGGCGGCUUUUUAAGUCAGGGGUGAAAGACGGUAGCUUAACUAUCGCAGUGCCUUUGAUACUGAAGAGCUUGAAUGAACUAGAGGUAGGCGGAAUGUGACAAGUAGCGGUGAAAUGCAUAGAUAUGUCACAGAACACCGAUUGCGAAGGCAGCUUACUAUGGUUUAAUUGACGCUGAGGCACGAAAGCGUGGGGAUCAAACAGG